RNAcentral lists this transfer RNA (64 nucleotides) under Ictidomys tridecemlineatus (thirteen-lined ground squirrel). RNAcentral's name for it is "Spermophilus tridecemlineatus (thirteen-lined ground squirrel) tRNA". It matches the Rfam family "tRNA", at positions 1 to 62 of the family's 71-position model. From Rfam's summary of the family: Transfer RNA (tRNA) molecules are approximately 80 nucleotides in length. Their secondary structure includes four short double-helical elements and three loops (D, anti-codon, and T loops). The record is from Rfam by way of RNAcentral. Lineage: Eukaryota; Metazoa; Chordata; Mammalia; Rodentia; Sciuridae.
GGGGAUAUAGCUCAGUUGGUAGAGUGUUUGCCUUGCAAGCACAAGGCGCUGGAUUCAAUCCCCA